Molecule: long non-coding RNA, 213 nt
Filed under: Elaeis guineensis (African oil palm)
Lineage: Eukaryota; Viridiplantae; Streptophyta; Magnoliopsida; Arecales; Arecaceae
Description: long non-coding RNA (EGUI_LNC050790)
Source: RNAcentral
GAGAGUGCUAGCUCGCAUGAAUACCUUCUUUUUGACUAAUCUGGAUCCUUUCUUCAAAUCUCUAGAAUCUUUUUAGAGAUUGAAAAUAGACUUCUAGAGGAGAUUAAGAGGUAGAAGAUAGAUGGAGAGGAAAAUAAUUUUUUUCUUAUUUUUUCUCUUCUUCUCAAACCCAAAUGUAUAAAACUCUAGAAAAUAGAUUUUGGGCACACCCCA